CAGUAGCCGCGGGAAUACAGAGGGUGCGAGCGUUAAUCGGAUUUACUGGGCGUAAAGCGUGCGUAGGCGGCUAAUUGAGUCGGAUGUGAAAUCCCCGAGCUUAACUUGGGAAUUGCAUUCGAUACUGGUUAGCUAGAGUGUGGGAGAGGAUGGUAGAAUUCCAGGUGUAGCGGUGAAAUGCGUAGAGAUCUGGAGGAAUACCGAUGGCGAAGGCAGCCAUCUGGCCUAACACUGACGCUGAGGUACGAAAGCAUGGGGAGCAAACAGGAUUAGAUACCCCGGUAGUCCCUGUCUCUUAUAC
Molecule: ribosomal RNA, 301 nt
Filed under: uncultured bacterium
Lineage: Bacteria
Description: partial 16S ribosomal RNA
Rfam family: Bacterial small subunit ribosomal RNA
Source: RNAcentral